This 301-nucleotide ribosomal RNA is filed under the name uncultured bacterium. Its description in RNAcentral is "partial 16S ribosomal RNA". It matches the Rfam family "Bacterial small subunit ribosomal RNA", at positions 509 to 807 of the family's 1533-position model. The record is from RNAcentral.
CAGCAGCCGCGGUAACACGAAGGGGGCUAGCGUUGUUCGGAAUUACUGGGCGUAAAGCGUACGUAGGCGGCUUUGUAAGUUAGAGGUGAAAGCCUGGAGCUCAACUCCAGAAUUGCCUUUAAGACUGCAUCGCUUGAACGUCGGAGAGGUGAGUGGAAUUCCGAGUGUAGAGGUGAAAUUCGUAGAUAUUCGGAAGAACACCAGUGGCGAAGGCGGCUCACUGGACGACUGUUGACGCUGAGGUACGAAAGCGUGGGGAGCAAACAGGAUUAGAUACCCCUGUAGUCCCUGUCUCUUAUAC